RNAcentral lists this unclassified non-coding RNA (241 nucleotides) under plant metagenome. RNAcentral describes it as "partial contains small subunit ribosomal RNA, internal transcribed spacer 1, and 5.8S ribosomal RNA". The record is from RNAcentral.
UUUCCGUAGGUGAACCUGCGGAAGGAUCAUUAAAGAGUAAGGGUCUUCGGGCCCGAUCUCCAACCCUUUGUUUAACUACCAUGUUGCUUUGGCGGGCCCGUCUCACGGCCGCCGGAAGUUUGGCUUCGACCAAACUUCUGGCCCGUGCCCGUCAGUGGCCCCUUCAAAUUCUUGAUCAAGUAUGAUGUCUUAGUUAAAAACUUAAUAGUUAAAACUUUCAACAACGGAUCUCUUGGUUCUG